Molecule: long non-coding RNA, 599 nt
Filed under: Numida meleagris (helmeted guineafowl)
Lineage: Eukaryota; Metazoa; Chordata; Aves; Galliformes; Numididae
Description: lncRNA (ENSNMEG00000021225.1)
Source: RNAcentral
AAGGACUUGAGCAUAAGCAGUUGUGGGUGUGUGCUGACACAGGCAUCAUUACUACCUUUGUCUCCAUGUGAUAGUGGUGGAAUAUGCUAUACAAAUCUAUGAAAACGGUACGCUCAAUGUGAAUAUUUCAUCUGUGGUAAAAAAUUAUACUGAAGAAUAAGUGAUUAUUAUGUCAACACAUUACUGAUAUAAUCAAGGUGGACUAAAACAUUCAAACUGAAAUCCUUGAAAAAUAAUGUUUCAGAUUUGACCUUGCUGAAAUCAAUUAAAAUCAGAGGCAACAUUUGCAAUGGCUGCAGGAGAGCUAGGAGUCUUCUACAUCUUCUACUUGGGUGCAAUUGGAGUGAGAGACCAACUCAUUUGGCUCCCACACCUAGAAAGAUGGGCUGGUAUGUAAGCUGUGAAAUGAGCAAGGCAGAUUGUCAACUAGUAAAGUACACAUGGAUAUGUAUACACAUAUUCUUACACAGUGCAGGAAAAUCAGGAAAAGGAUUUGCAACCAUUGAACUUUUAGUAAGUAUUGCAUCAUGUAUUCUAAGUACUGGUUCAAAAAAAAAAAAAAAAACUUGAGCAUAGUCAUUCCUGUGCUUCUUAUCAAA